GAUGAACGCUGGCGGCGUGCUUAACACAUGCAAGUCGAACGGAAAGGCUCCUGCUUGCAGGGGUACUCGAGUGGCGAACGGGUGAGUAACACGUGGGUGAUCUGCCCUGCACUUCGGGAUAAGCCUGGGAAACUGGGUCUAAUACCGGAUAGGACGAUGGUUUGGAUGCCAUUGUGGAAAGUUUUUCGGUGUGGGAUGAGCUCGCGGCCUAUCAGCUUGUUGGUGGGGUAAUGGCCUACCAAGGCGUCGACGGGUAGCCGGCCUGAGAGGGUGUACGGCCACAUUGGGACUGAGAUACGGCCCAGACUCCUACGGGAGGCAGCAGUGGGGAAUAUUGCACAAUGGGCGCAAGCCUGAUGCAGCGACGCCGCGUGGGGGAUGACGGCCUUCGGGUUGUAAACUCCUUUCGCUAGGGACGAAGCGCAAGUGACGGUACCUGGAGAAGAAGCAACGGCUAACUACGUG
RNAcentral lists this ribosomal RNA (465 nucleotides) under uncultured bacterium. Its description in RNAcentral is "partial 16S ribosomal RNA". It matches the Rfam family "Bacterial small subunit ribosomal RNA", at positions 28 to 507 of the family's 1533-position model. The record is from RNAcentral.